Molecule: long non-coding RNA, 714 nt
Organism: Cannabis sativa
Lineage: Eukaryota; Viridiplantae; Streptophyta; Magnoliopsida; Rosales; Cannabaceae
Exons: 3
Source: RefSeq, a predicted model, not a curated record
UUAGCUAGAGACCUAUAUAUAGAGCUUUGGGUAUUCAUUCUUCACUCACUCAUUACUUAAGCUAUCACCUAUCAAAGAUUACUCUCUCUUUCUCAUUUCUUGCUACUACUCCCUAUUUCGUCUUUUAUGCCAUAAUAUUCAUUGCUUAUUAACUCACCCCACCAUCAAUACCAUCAUCAUUCAUCAUUUUCUCUAUCAUCAUUUUUACAAUUUCCUUUUUUAUCAUUUCACCAUCCUCUCAAACACUAUUCCCAACCAAUUAUUUCAUCUCCAUCAUUCUUGUCAUACUCACAUAUCACCACCACCAACCUCUUACUUAUUUAUAUAUAGAUACUCCACUAUUAUUUACCUAUAUAUAUCAACAUCAUCACCACCAUUAUUUUCCUGCCAGAUUUACUUUUUAAUCUAAGGUUUUUCAUAAGAUAAUUUUUGGUUCUCAAGGAUCACUUUUGCAAUCAAGCAAGGAUCUCCACAAUCGAGACCAAAGUAACUGAAAGUCUAGAAUGCCGGUGGCGAGUGGAACUUUGGACGCUUGUGUGUGUGAACUCGCUGAGGGCCAUAUAACUGCGGGCGGUCUAGGGCGCUCUAUUUAUUUAUUUACGUUAUUAAAUUAAUGUCGCAAUUAUUUUAGUUAUUAUUUAUUAUGUCUUUUGUACGAAAAUUGGCCAGUUGUGAACAUUUUCAAGUAUUGAAUAAAAAUGCGACAUUAUGAUU